UAGUUGGUGUUGAUUGGGGUGAGGGUCCACCUGUUCCCAUACCGAACACAGAAGUUAAGCUCACCUCCGCCGACAAUACUUACCGGGUGACUGGUCGGGAAGAUAGGUAAUGCCAACAC
RNAcentral lists this ribosomal RNA (119 nucleotides) under Oscillospiraceae bacterium. The record is from RNAcentral. Lineage: Bacteria; Bacillati; Bacillota; Clostridia; Eubacteriales; Oscillospiraceae.